This 3411-nucleotide long non-coding RNA is filed under the name Musa acuminata (dwarf banana). RNAcentral describes it as "long non-coding RNA (MACU_LNC005911)". Lineage: Eukaryota; Viridiplantae; Streptophyta; Magnoliopsida; Zingiberales; Musaceae. The record is from RNAcentral.
UUUACGGGUAUUGGAUCUUUGUGACACAUCAGUCGAGAGAAUUCCAAAUUGUAUCGGAGAUCUAUUGCACCUAAGAUACCUAGAUCUUGAUAGAACAAAGAUUCAUGAGAUACCGAAAUCAAUAGGGCGCCUUGUAAACCUUCAAACUUUGAAUAUCUCAUGAUGUAAACACUUGUAGAUCUAGUCAACAAAAGAUUUCUAGUUUCAGUGUGUUGGUAUGAAAGAAUAGUCAAUAAAUCUGCUUACACAAACAUGCCGCCCUAAGUAUUCCUUAUGCGUUAUAUAUUCUAAUCAAGCCAAGUAUGGUCAAAAAAUUUAUGUGUUUGUAAUGCAUCCUAAUCAAACAAAUAAUUAAUUACCUCAGGUAGGCGUGCACGUUGAAAAGAGCCAUGAUUAAUUGGUUUAUAAUAUUUUGAUGAUAUCAUGCCAUGAUAAACUUAUAUAAGAUUACCCUUCAUUAAGUAUUGCAAAUUUUGUAUAAUUAAUAUAACUAAUAAAAUAAUCGUAUAGUAUUUUCUGAAAAUACAUGUUGCAUAAAUUUCAUGCAUUUUAUUGACUAAUAAAAUUUAUUAUUUUGGCUGUCAUCCAUAAGGUAAAGCAAAAUAUUAUAAACAUGAUGUUAGAUCUAUUAUAAUAGCUAUUUAAGUAUAGCAACAUGGCAUGGCAUGAUUGCAGAGAAGAGGUGGAAGGGAUAGAGUUGACGAAUUCAUUGACUCAAACUGAUUCGUUAAAUUGGUUAACUAAUUAGAACCAGUUUAAUGAACAAGUUCAAAAAUUAAAAAAAUAAUUAGAAUAGGAAAAUACAAUUGAUAUUUAUAAAAAAAUACAUCGGAUAAUUUUUCAAUAGAAAACCACCUUCCGAUAAACAUCAAUUAGUAAUGACUUUUCUUGAUAAAAUAUUUUUGUAAAAUAUCACUCUUGUUAAAAUAUCACUUUUGUAAAAGCGAAUAAAUCAUGCUUAUGAUUCCUGUGAGUGAAAGUCAAUUAUUCUUGAAAAAAGCUCAUUAAUUAUUUUCUAUACUUCAUAUCCUAAUCUCCCUAAGAAAUCAAGAUUAAGUUUAUGAAUAUCCAAAAAAAUCCAAUCUUGAUCAGGACUCAGGACAAGCUUUUCACAAUAUACCUCAAGGCAUUGUUUUAUUAUUAUUAUUAUUAUUAUUAUUAUUAUUAUUAUUAUUAUUAUUAUUAUUAUUAUUAAGUCAACCGUAAGCUGCCGACAUCUCGCCAUGUGACUCUGCCGUCUUCUCCGCGGAGCUACUCGUCUUAUUUGUCUCAGAUCUCGGAAGAAUAAGAAAGUAGAUGAUAAGAUAAUCUGAUUUCUGACAGCUACUGCAUGGAUCACCUUAGGAAAUAAUUACAUGUUAGUGUGCUCGAGGAACCACCUCUUGGGGCAUCGAGUCUUCUUCCCGAGAGUGCCGAGGCCUUUUCCCUGUUCGUCCUGGAGAGAUGGCAAUGAUUCUGGAUACUUUCGUUUCGAGAUACGUCAACGAUGUGGCCGCUUUCGUGGAGGGAGAGAUAUGCAAAGUGCUGGGCGUGAAGAAGGAGAUCAAGGCGCUGCAGGAGACGCUGGAGACGAUCAGAUGUUUCCUCCAGGAUGCCGAGAAGAAGAGCCGCAGCGGGGAUCCCGUCAUGGAGCUCUGGGUGAGGAAGCUGAAGGAAGUCAUGUACGACGCCGACGACGUCAUCGAUCUGUGCGUGAUGGAAGGGGGAAAGCCCUUGGAGGUUCGGGCGUCGGCAUCAGCCUCAGGGGUGGUAAGCCUUCCUUUCAGCUUCGUCUCUUCCUGCUUUCGGUGUACCAAAUACCGCCAUGAGAUCGCAGGCCAAAUCGAAGCAAUCAAUGAUGGGCUGAAACGAAUAGCGGCAGAUAACUCCAUCCUUGGAAAUCUACAGCCCGCAAGCCAACAACUCCACCCUAAAAAACCACCUCCACCACGUGAGACGUCUCCCUUGGAAGUUGAGGAGGACAUUGUGGGGGAACAAAUCGAAGAAGCUGCCGACGAUCUAAUCAAUCGCAUGUUGGAGAACACCGAACAAAAGUGUCGUGUUUUUGGGAUUGUUGGAAUGGGUGGAAUCGGGAAAACUACUCUGGCAAGUAAAAUAUAUAAUGAUGGAAGGAUCAAAGAAAACUUUCCUAUCCAAAAGUGGUUGUAUAUCUCAAAGGAUUAUACGGAGAUCAAGUUUCUCAGAGAGUUAAUUCGGUGUGCAGGAGAUGAAACCAAAGCAGGAUCUUUUGAGGGAGAAAGCAGAGCAGAAUUGGAACUCAAACUUGCUUCGCUCCUCACUGAAAAUUUAUUUCUCGUGUUGGACGACGUGUGGAGUCCAAAUGUAUGGACUGAUUUCCUGAGGAAACCACUAAGUAAAGGAGAAGGUAGCCGCACGAUCUUAGUUACCACUCGAAUCGAAACAGUGUUAAGUGGUAUGAAAGCCAGCUAUAUGCACCAUGCUGAGAAAAUGGAUGAUAACAGCGGGUGGAUGUUGCUUGGGAAGACGGUAUUCGAAGCUGGGGAGGAGGAUGACAUGCGUCGGUUGGAGGAAGUAGGUAGGAAAAUUGUUAGAAAAUGUGACGGACUUCCUCUUGCUAUCAAAGCUAUUGCAGGGGUUUUAAUUUCCAAGGACAGAAGCACAGCGGAGUGGGAACAGGUCCUCGAGAAUGACGCAUGGAGUACGAACCGGCAGAUCGACGAAGAAGUUCCAAGAGCUUUGCACUUGAGCUAUGAGGAUCUACCAUCUCAUCUGAAACAAUGCUUUCUUUAUUGCUCUUUCUUCGUGUGGGAGUUUUUUCAUUACAAUGAUAUUAUUCGGUUUUGGGUAGCAGAAGGCCUUAUCGUAGAAGCAGGAGGUAGGCUGAUGGAAGAUGUAGCCGAGGAGUACUAUUGGGAACUAGUUUCGAGGAAUCUUCUACAAGUGGAUCCAUCAUAUAUAAACAGGAGCAUGUUUUGUAUCCAUGAUCAUUUACGAGCGCUCGCUACAUACUUGAUGAAAGAAGAAGGAUUUUCGAUUACAGUUGGUCAAAGAUUAGAUAUAAAAGCUAACAUGAAGAUUCGUAGGUUGUCGAUAUCUAAUAUGGGAAUAAAACUAGUAUUGCCGGAUCACAUCAUAGAAGAGAAAUGUUUGAGAACUUUAAUGAUCAGAGACUCCCUCUCAUCCAAAAUAAUUGAGGAUAAUUUACUUAAAGGGUUAUCAAAUUUACGGGUAUUGGAUCUUUGUGACACAUCAGUCGAGAGAAUUCCAAAUUGUAUCGGAGAUCUAUUGCACCUAAGAUACCUAGAUCUUGAUAGAACAAAGAUUCAUGAGAUACCGGAAUCAAUAGGGUGCCUUGUCAACCUUCAAACUUUGAAUAUCUCAGGAUGUAAACACUUGUACAAGCUUCCCAUGACCAUCACGAGGCUAUACAAUCUAAGGAGUCUCCGUGUU